GGUGAACGCCGGCGGUAGGCCUAACACAUGCAAGUCGAACGGCAGCACAGUAAGAGCUUGCUCUUACGGGUGGCGAGUGGCGGACGGGUGAGGAAUACAUCGGAAUCUACUUUUUCGUGGGGGAUAACGUAGGGAAACUUACGCUAAUACCGCAUACGACCUACGGGUGAAAGCAGGGGAUCUUCGGACCUUGCGCGAUUGAAUGAGCCGAUGUCGGAUUAGCUAGUUGGCGGGGUAAAGGCCCACCAAGGCGACGAUCCGUAGCUGGUCUGAGAGGAUGAUCAGCCACACUGGAACUGAGACACGGUCCAGACUCCUACGGGAGGCAGCAGUGGGGAAUAUUGGACAAUGGGCGCAAGCCUGAUCCAGCCAUACCGCGUGGGUGAAGAAGGCCUUCGGGUUGUAAAGCCCUUUUGUUGGGAAAGAAAAGCAGCAGGUUAAUACCCCGCUGUUCUGACGGUACCCAAAGAAUAAGCACCGGCUAACUUCGUG
RNAcentral lists this ribosomal RNA (492 nucleotides) under uncultured bacterium. Its description in RNAcentral is "partial 16S ribosomal RNA". It matches the Rfam family "Bacterial small subunit ribosomal RNA", at positions 28 to 507 of the family's 1533-position model. The record is from RNAcentral.